This 492-nucleotide ribosomal RNA is filed under the name uncultured bacterium. Its description in RNAcentral is "partial 16S ribosomal RNA". It matches the Rfam family "Bacterial small subunit ribosomal RNA", at positions 29 to 507 of the family's 1533-position model. The record is from RNAcentral.
AGUGAACGCUGGCGGUAGGCCUAACACAUGCAAGUCGAACGGCAGCACAGUAAGAGCUUGCUCUUACGGGUGGCGAGUGGCGGACGGGUGAGGAAUACAUCGGAAUCUACUUUUUCGUGGGGGAUAACGUAGGGAAACUUACGCUAAUACCGCAUACGACCUACGGGUGAAAGCAGGGGAUCUUCGGACCUUGCGCGAUUGAAUGAGCCGAUGUCGGAUUAGCUAGUUGGCGGGGUAAAGGCCCAACAAGGCGACGAUCCGUAGCUGGUCUGAGAGGAUGAUCCGCCACACCGGAACUUGGACCCCGUCCCCACUCCCUCGGGGGGCCACAGUGGGGAAUAUUGGCCAAUGGGGCGAAGCCUUGUCCGACCAUCCCGCCGUGGUGAAGAAGGCCUUCCGGUUCGUAAGCCCUUUUUUUGGGAAAGGAACACAGCUGUUUGAUACCCCGCUGUUCUGACGGUACCCUAAGAAUAAGCACCGGCUUACUUCGUG